This 266-nucleotide ribosomal RNA is filed under the name uncultured archaeon. Its description in RNAcentral is "partial 16S ribosomal RNA". It matches the Rfam family "Archaeal small subunit ribosomal RNA", at positions 748 to 1008 of the family's 1478-position model. The record is from RNAcentral.
CAGCCGUAAACUAUGCGCGUUAGGUGUACUGGUGACCACGAGUCACCGGGGUGCCGAAGGGAAACCGUGAAACGUGCCGCCUGGGAAGUACGGUCGCAAGGCUGAAACUUAAAGGAAUUGGCGGGGGGAGGCACCACAACGGGUGGGAGCCUGCGGGUUUAAUUGGACUCAACGCCGGAAAUACUCACCGGAUAGGACAGACAUAUGAUAGUCGGGCUGAAGACUCUACUUGAUGAUCUGAGAGGUGGUGCAUGGCGUCAGUGACU